This 1007-nucleotide small RNA is filed under the name Histoplasma capsulatum. RNAcentral describes it as "hypothetical RNA". Lineage: Eukaryota; Fungi; Ascomycota; Eurotiomycetes; Onygenales; Ajellomycetaceae. RNAcentral also lists the same sequence under 1 other name. The record is from RNAcentral.
UUGUGGCAAUGGUGAGGAUGGCGAUGAGGAAUUGAGACAGAUAAUAGCGAGAAUAUUGCUAGUCGCUUGAGCUCUAAAAUGGCGACGUGUGAUAUAUUUUCCGGCGCGGGCUUUGUAUCCCGGGUACCACUGUUUUUCUUUUCUUUCUUUCUUUCUUUCUUUUUUUUUUUGGGACCAUAGGGUGCAUGUAAUCUUUAAGGGUAUAUUGAGUUGGGAAGUUGUUUGAGGGGGUGUAGGAUAUUUCUAUUAUUAAGGGUGAGUAAGUCUCGCGGGAUCGAGAGGAGUACGUGUGGAAAGGUGUAUCUAUGCGUGUAGCCGUCAAAUAUGUUGAAAAUUUAUAUGUGGAGAUAGUACAAGGAUAAUUGUUUUGAUUUGGUUGCAGUGUUGGAUUCAUUGCACGAGAGUCAAUAUUAAUACUAAUCCAAACCUAUCCGAUGCCAGAUCUGCUUUGGCUUGAGUAGCGAGACACAUGUGAAUGAAAUAUCUAGGUAUAGCGGAGAAGGGGAUAAAGGGUUUCAGAAGAAAAAAAUCGGCAGUUUGAAGAUAUCUGAAGUAGAAGAGAGACUUUGGAGUCUAAUGAACAAGUUAGGUCAAGGGGAUAUCUGGAUAUCAAAGUUGCGUGUUCCUCCACGGCACACAGUUGGAAUGGCAAGCCCUGGUAUGAAGGGAUGCCGCCCAUGUCCCGUUGCAUGUCGUGCUGGUUAUUUGGAAAGUUGAGGCCCGCAUACAUAGCCUGGAGGCCUUCUUUGUUAUAAGAGGCAUUGACCGAAGCUCAAUUGUUUCAAUAGAUGUGAGCCGAAGUUUCGAUACCGUUUGUCGGUGACUAAGGAAAUUUCUGUGGGUUUAAUCAUCGGAGGUCGUCGGCAUGUCAUUCCAUUGCUGGCAUUCGGCCUUCGGGUUGAGCAAACUGAAGAAUUUGGCGCUCGAAUCCCUCGAGUGUGAUGUUAAAAUCCGCGGAUUUUAACAUGAGGAAAGAGAGUAAUAGCUCAGUGAAUUGGAAUUGGAGC